ACGCCGGUCACCGUUCCUGCCACGAAUCCAAUGCCGACACCGGUAACAGAUCCUACAACCAGUCCCGUAAUCCUGCCUCCAGUUGUCCCCAUCACAAAUCCUGCCAUAGCACCACCGGCGCUCCCAGUGACCAACCCUGUGACUCUGUCUCCACCACUGGGGAGCCUGCCAUUAAUAACACCUCCAACCACAAUGCCCGGGACUGUCCCGGUUUCGCCUGCUGUUUCG
This 228-nucleotide unclassified non-coding RNA is filed under the name Hevea brasiliensis (rubber tree). Lineage: Eukaryota; Viridiplantae; Streptophyta; Magnoliopsida; Malpighiales; Euphorbiaceae. The record is from RNAcentral.